This 478-nucleotide long non-coding RNA is filed under the name Homo sapiens (human). Its description in RNAcentral is "HSALNT0036732". Lineage: Eukaryota; Metazoa; Chordata; Mammalia; Primates; Hominidae. The record is from RNAcentral.
UCAGGAAAGGUCGGGAUGAGAAGGAUGCCUUGUCUGUUAUGCUGUAUUCAUGCCAGAGAACAGGAACUCAAGCCAGCCACUAAAUUCAGGACUGAAGCAAAGGAUUAAUGCAUUUUUCAGACUAUUAGGCCCUAGAAAGUUAAUCCUACUUUGAAGACCUCUAAUUUCCCAGUCCUCAGCCAUAGCUGAUUGGACCAGGAAUAGGUGUCUGAAUGAAUAAACCACUGACUCUCAGAAAUUUGAACUGAAAGAGACAGAGCUACUUGAGCUGAAGAGUCAUAUGGAGGCUCCAUGGAAGUAGUGGUUUUCAGCAAAGCAUAAGAUAAUCAAACAUCAGAUACCCUUGGAGGAGAGAAUGACAAAUGGAUAGAUGUACAGAGUGAAAUGAAGUCAUAAGAAAGAGAGAUGCAGAGAUGGCAUUAUGUGAAGACAUUAACCUUGGUUACCAAAUUAAAUAUCCAGGCCCUGGACAGCCAAC